UUUUGUGGAUAUAGUUUCUAUUGUUUAGUUACAAUUUAUAAUUUAAUAAAGAAUAAAGGGUUAGUUUACUUGCCAUUGAUCCUCCCUUUUACUUACCUGCAAUCGUCGAGAAAAUACAGUAUUUCUUCCCUCCUGUCGUUUGGUCUACCGUCGACUUACCUGAUCGUCGGGACAACACAGUAGCGGAAAAGUUGGUCUUACUCAAAUAUUUGGAAAUCUGAGUUCAAUCCCUAAGUUAAAUGGAUCAAACUUCAAGAUUUGGAAGGAAAGCAUAGAGAUACUUCUCAGGUGUAUGGAUUUGAACCUUGCAUUAAAGACCGAUAAACCUACUUCUACUAAGGAACAACCAAAUAUGACUAAUAUAGAGAAGUGAGAAUGGUCAAAUCACAUGUGUCUGAUGAUCAUUAGGUACUCCAUUUCGGAGUUUUUCGGGGCUUUAUCACAGAAAGUGAAAAUGCCAAUAAGUUCUUUGCUCAAAUUGAGAAAUAUUUUGCUAAAAAUGAAAACAGGGAAGCAAGUAGUCUUUUGACUUCUUUAACUUCUAUGAGAUAUAAGAGCAAUGGAAACGUAAAGCAGUACAUUAUGGGAAUGUCCAAUCUCACAGGUAAAUUAAAGGUACUUGAUAUCGUGAUAAAUGAAAAUUUACUCGUAUAUCUGGUACUUAUCUUUCUUCCUGCACAAUUCACUCAGUUUAAGAUAAGUUAUAACAGUCAAAAGGAUAAAUGGAGUAUUAAUGAGCUUAUUUCACAAUGUGUGCAAGAAGAAGAUAGGAUUAAGAGAGAAAUGACAGAAAGCGCUCAUUUGGCAAUAGGCUCUCGUGAUAAAAAGAAAAGGAAAUUUGUGGAUGCUACAGAAAGGACAUCUCAAGAAACAAGCUACUGAAAAACCUUGUUUUUUCUGCAAAAUGAAAGGUCAAUUCAAGAAGGAUUAUCCCAAAUACACUAAGUGGCGUGUAAAGAAGGGGUUGCCUGUGAAAUUGGCCGCCAAGUGAUUUGAAAGAUUCAUCUAUGCAGGUGAUGGCAAAGCAGUUCCAGUUGAAGCUAUUGGGAAUUUUAGAUUACUUAUAAAAUUUGGAUGUUAUUUAGAUAUGAAUAAGACUUUUUUGUACCAUCAUUUAGACAGAAUUUAGUUUCUAUUUCUAGU
Molecule: long non-coding RNA, 1143 nt
Organism: Benincasa hispida (wax gourd)
Lineage: Eukaryota; Viridiplantae; Streptophyta; Magnoliopsida; Cucurbitales; Cucurbitaceae
Source: RefSeq, a predicted model, not a curated record